CCUACGGGAGGCAGCAGUGGGGGAUAUUGCACAAUGGGGGGAACCCUGAUGCAGCGACGCCGCGUGGGUGAAGGAGUGCUUCGGCAUGUAAAGCCCUAUCGGCAGGGAAGAAGCAAGACGGUACCUGACUAAGAAGCCCCGGCUAACUACGUGCCAGCAGCCGCGGUAAUACGUAGGGGGCGAGCGUUAUCCGGAUUCACUGGGUGUAAAGGGAGCGUAGACGGCCAUGCAAGCCAGGGGUGAAAGCCCGGGGCCCAACCCCGGGACUGCCCUUGGAACUGUGCGGCUAGAGUGCGGGAGGGGCAGGCGGAAUUCCUGGUGUAGCGGUGAAAUGCGUAGAGAUCAGGAGGAACACCGGCGGCGAAGGCGGCCUGCUGGACUGCGACUGACGUUGAGGCUCGAAAGCGUGGGGAGCGAACAGGAUUAGAUACCCCUGUAGUC
Molecule: ribosomal RNA, 441 nt
Filed under: uncultured bacterium
Lineage: Bacteria
Description: partial 16S ribosomal RNA
Rfam family: Bacterial small subunit ribosomal RNA
Source: RNAcentral